RNAcentral lists this transfer RNA (74 nucleotides) under Candidatus Kryptonium thompsonii. Its description in RNAcentral is "Candidatus Kryptonium thompsoni tRNA". It matches the Rfam family "tRNA". Rfam says of the family: Transfer RNA (tRNA) molecules are approximately 80 nucleotides in length. Their secondary structure includes four short double-helical elements and three loops (D, anti-codon, and T loops). Further hydrogen bonds mediate the characteristic L-shaped molecular structure. tRNAs have two regions of fundamental functional importance: the anti-codon, which is responsible for specific mRNA codon recognition, and the 3' end, to which the tRNAs corresponding amino acid is attached (by aminoacyl-tRNA synthetases). tRNAs cope with the degeneracy of the genetic code in two manners: having more than one tRNA (with a specific anti-codon) for a particular amino acid; and 'wobble' base-pairing, i.e. permitting non-standard base-pairing at the 3rd anti-codon position. The record is from Rfam by way of RNAcentral. Lineage: Bacteria; Pseudomonadati; Candidatus Kryptoniota.
GCGCCUGUAGCUCAACCGGAUAGAGCGUGGGCCUCCGGAGCCCAAGGCUGCGGGUUCAAAUCCCGCCAGGCGCG